Molecule: ribosomal RNA, 832 nt
Filed under: Rhodococcus sp. 1130-273-6
Lineage: Bacteria; Bacillati; Actinomycetota; Actinomycetes; Mycobacteriales; Nocardiaceae
Description: bacterial SSU rRNA
Rfam family: Bacterial small subunit ribosomal RNA
Source: RNAcentral
AUGCAAGUCGAGCGGUUAGGCCUUUCGGGGUACACGAGCGGCGAACGGGUGAGUAACACGUGGGUGAUCUGCCCUGCACUUCGGGAUAAGCCUGGGAAACUGGGUCUAAUACCGCCAUAUGACCUCCUAUCGCAUGGAGGGUGGUGGAAAGAUUUAUCGGUGCAUGAUGGGCCCGCGGCCUAUCAGCUUGUUGGUGGGGUAAUGGCCUACCAAGGCGACAGACGGGUAGCCGACCUGAGAGGGUGACCGGCCACACUGGGACUGAAACACGGCCCAAACUCCUACCGGAGGCAGCAGUGGGGAAUAUUGCACAAUGGGCGAAAGCCUGAUGCACCGACGCCGCGUGAGGGAUGACGGCCUUCGGGUUGUAAACCUCUUUCAGCAGGGACGAAGCGCAAGUGACGGUACCUGCAGAAGAAGCACCGGCUAACUACGUGCCAGCAGCCGCGGUAAUACGUACGGUGCAAGCGUUGUCCGGAAUUACUGGGCGUAAAGAGUUCGUAGGCGGUUUGUCGCGUCCUUUGUGAAAACCAGCAGCUCAACUGCUGGCUUGCAGGCGAUACGGGCAGACUUGAGUACUGCAAGUGAGACUGGAAUUCCUGGUGUAGCGGUGAAAUGCGCACAUAUCAGGAGGAACACCGGUGGCUAAGCAGGUCUCUGGGCAGUAACUGACGCUGAGGUACGAAAGCGUGGUAGCGAACAGGAUUAGAUACCCUGGUAUCCACGCCGUAAACCGUGGGCGCUAGGUGUGGGUUCCUUCCACGGAAUCCGUGCCGUACUAACGCAUUAGCGCCCGCUUGGGAUUCGGCCGCAGCUUAAAUCAAGGAAUUGC